This 657-nucleotide unclassified non-coding RNA is filed under the name Hevea brasiliensis (rubber tree). Lineage: Eukaryota; Viridiplantae; Streptophyta; Magnoliopsida; Malpighiales; Euphorbiaceae. The record is from RNAcentral.
UCGGUUUGAACCGAAAUCUGCUCAGCCCUAGCAAUAGGUUGCCCCCACACCCCCUAACGAGGUUAGUGCCCGGCCUCACAACAUUUUCCAAUCAGGUGGCAAAAAAUGUAAAACUUUCGAAUAUGAUAACAAUUUAGGUUUAUGAAAAUAUAUCUAAAACUCAAGUCACAUAAAUGAUACAUAAUUUUGCUUGGUGAUUGGUAGUAAUGUAGGAUGGCUUUUGUUUGUGCAACAAUAUGUUUAGCUUUCUAACCCACAUUAUACCAUAACAUUGAGUUUCUGACUUUUUCCCUUUUAGAAUUCUUUUGUGUUGUUCAGUGACCACAUGUGGUUUAGCAACUCAUGCUUUGCACUCACUUCGUGGGAAGAAAGAUGGAUAUGACAUUGUGAUCAGUGAAGUCAAAAUGCCUGACAUGGAUGGUUUUCAACUUCUAGAACAUGUUGGACUGGAGAUGGAUCUUCCUGUUGUUAGUCAGUUCUUCCCCAUUAACGUGUGGACUUUCACAUUGAGUGCCAAAAAUCUCUCCUUAUUUUUUGUAUCUUAUAUUUACUGGAAGCACUUCUGACAAAACGUAUUCAUGUCACUUCUCAGUGAUGUCUGUUUGUGGAGAAAUGAGUCUGGUUAUGAAAGCAUUCAGCAUGGAGCCUGUGAUUAUC